Molecule: ribosomal RNA, 537 nt
Filed under: Trigonopterus sp. 780 AR-2022a
Lineage: Eukaryota; Metazoa; Arthropoda; Insecta; Coleoptera; Curculionidae
Description: partial large subunit ribosomal RNA
Rfam family: Archaeal large subunit ribosomal RNA
Source: RNAcentral
GGCUUGUUGAUUUUAAUUUCAAGUUAGGCCUGCCCAGUGAGUAAGCUUAAAUGGCCGCGGUAUUUUGACCGUGCAAAGGUAGCAUAAUCAUUAGUUUUUUAAUUGAAAGCUUGUAUGAAAGGUUAGAUGAAAAAGUUUCUGUCUCUAAAAAAAUUUAUUAGAAUUUUAUUUUUAAGUUAAAAAGCUUAAAUUUACAUAGAAGACGAGAAGACCCUAUAGAGUUUUAUAUUUGCUUUAUUUUUAGAAUUAGGUAUUAAAAUUUAUUUAUUUAUGUAAAUAUUUUGUUGGGGUGAUAGGAAAAUUAGAAGAACUUUUUUGUUUAUAAAAACAUUGAUUUAUGAUUAUAUGAUCUUAUAAUUUAGAUUACAAGAUUAAAUUACCUUAGGGAUAACAGCGUAAUUUUUUUUAGAGUUCUUAUCGAAAGAAAAGAUUGCGACCUCGAUGUUGGAUUAAAGUUUAUUAGUGGUGUAGAAGCUACUAUAUUAGGUCUGUUCGACCUUUAAAAUUUUACAUGAUCUGAGUUUAGACCGGCGUGAG